Drosophila rhopaloa is the source of this 420-nucleotide long non-coding RNA. RefSeq lists it as uncharacterized. NCBI's taxonomy places the organism in Eukaryota, Metazoa, Arthropoda, Insecta, Diptera, Drosophilidae. The record is from RefSeq and is a predicted model, not a curated record. The transcript has 3 exons.
UCGGCUAUCGGCCAGAAGCAACCCUGCAACGGGCUGUCAAAUCGACACGCGAGGCUAGCAGGCCGACUUCCGUUUGAUAUUCGUUCUUUCGUUCUCAAACCGUCGUCCAGACCAGAAGGAAAAUGAGAGCUAAGUGGCGUAAGAAGCGUAUGCGUAGGUUGAAGCGUAAGCGCAGAAAGAUGCGUGCAAGGUCCAAGUAAGCGCAGCGCCUUUGCCCACUAAAUGGAACCUUUGAUUGAUGCCGACAAACCCAAACGAAACACGCCGCCUGGGCUGCCCUCUAAUGAGGGUCCCACAUGUAAUUUUGCAAAACCAGUUUUCACACAAACGUACAUGUGCAUUUAAAAUUCACGUUUCCAUUUCUCGUAAAAAUUGAUUCUAAUAAAUUACUGGAUUUUCGCCAAGGUUCCACGAGAAAAA